RNAcentral lists this ribosomal RNA (506 nucleotides) under uncultured bacterium. RNAcentral's name for it is "partial 16S ribosomal RNA". It matches the Rfam family "Bacterial small subunit ribosomal RNA", at positions 30 to 523 of the family's 1533-position model. The record is from RNAcentral.
AUUGAACGCUGGCGGCAGGCCUAACACAUGCAAGUCGAACGGUAACAGGAAACAGCUUGCUGUUUCGCUGACGAGUGGCGGACGGGUGAGUAAUGUCUGGGAAACUGCCUGAUGGAGGGGGAUAACUACUGGAAACGGUAGCUAAUACCGCAUAACGUCGCACGACCAAAGUGGGGGACCUUCGGGCCUCACACCAUCGGAUGUGCCCAGAUGGGAUUAGCUAGUAGGUGGGGUAACGGCUCACCUAGGCGACGAUCCCUAGCUGGUCUGAGAGGAUGCCGCGCCACACGGGAACUGAGACACGGUCCAGACUUCUACGGGAGGCAGCAGUGGGGAAUAUUGCACAAUGGGCGUAAGCCUGAUGCAGCCAUGCCGCGUGUAUGAAGAAGGCCUUCGGGUUGUAAAGUACUUUCAGCGGGGAGGAAAGCAUUAAGGUUAAUAACCUUAGUGAUUGACGUUACUCGCAGAAGAAGCACCGGCUAACUCCGUGCCAGCAGCCGCCGUAA